RNAcentral lists this ribosomal RNA (244 nucleotides) under Clostridioides difficile. Its description in RNAcentral is "partial 23S ribosomal RNA". It matches the Rfam family "Bacterial large subunit ribosomal RNA", at positions 229 to 474 of the family's 2925-position model. Lineage: Bacteria; Bacillati; Bacillota; Clostridia; Peptostreptococcales; Peptostreptococcaceae. The record is from RNAcentral.
AUUCGAUUCCGUAAGUAGCGGCGAGCGAACGCGGAUUAGCCCAAACCAAUAAAGUUUUCUUUAUUGGGGGUGCGGACAUAUCAUAACGAAGAGGUAUCGUAAUUGAAGAGGUUUGGAAAGACCCACCACAGAAGGUAAUAGUCCUGUAUGUUAAACGAGAAGACUUCAGAUAUGAUCCAGAGUACCACGGGACACGUGAAACCCUGUGGGAAGCAGGAGGGACCACCCUCCAAGGCUAAAUACU